Molecule: long non-coding RNA, 6047 nt
Organism: Oncorhynchus tshawytscha (Chinook salmon)
Lineage: Eukaryota; Metazoa; Chordata; Actinopteri; Salmoniformes; Salmonidae
Exons: 2
Source: RefSeq, a predicted model, not a curated record
ACACACACACACACACACACACACACACACACACACACACACACACAAUUAUGUACUACAGGACUACAAAACAACAUGGCAGACUAGUCCUCCAUCUUAGUUCAUACUGAUUAUUCUUUUGAUUCACGUGUCUGCCUAUCUCAGUUUUUUUUAUGCUCCUUCUCUCCCUUCCUCUCUCCCCGCUUCUCUCUCUCUCUUUCCCGCCACCUUCUCCACUCUGCGACCAGCAUUUGGCUUUUUCCACUUGUGGCAGAUUACUGUAAGGCUAUUGUAAAACAACUUCCUGCCUCUUUUGGCUCUGGUUACAAAAAACGGCAAAGGCUGGGCUCACGCGUCUCCCCCUCUCUCUCCCCGAAGUAUCAGAAGGUCUAAAAAGAGAGAAAGCCAGAAAAAGGAAAAGUGUAAAAUCUCUGUCUCCUCUUGAGGACUUAUUUUGAUGCCUUGUGUCUUUAAUGCCACAUGAGAAGUAAAGGAGGAGAGCAGGGGACUGCAUGCCUAGCAGAACGGAAAGAACAGCACAGCAACACCGGACCGACUGGAGGCUCCUCCGCUAGCUCACUCCGAGGACUCUCUCCUCUCCUCCUCUCUUCAUGACAAGGUUCAAUAAGACACAGGUGGCCACAUUCAAUGGACCUGCAGAGGGAAAAAACAUUGUUUGUAUUUACUUACUGAAGACAUGGUGCAACCAAGUUCGGGCGUUAUUAACAGUCUCUCUAGUCUUCUUUUUUAAAAAUGACACAAAAUGGGUUGGAUGUGUCUGCAUUGGAAUGAGCUAGAACCCUAAAACCCUAGAACCCAAUCCAAAGCACCGCAGCCUCACGUCACAUCUCGCCAUGUGUUUUAACCAAUUGAAAAACUCACGUCUUUGCGUUGAAACAUAUAGGUAUAAACAUACAGUUUGUGGAUAAUGUAGAUAUAUAUUAAGAAUAUGUAUUUUUGUAUGCACAAUCCUGCUCAGUUUCAGUAGAGGACAGACAGUAGGGAAAAUGGACAUGGAACUAUGAAUUUGUUUUAGUUGUUGGUUUGGAACGGUCUGUAGUAAUAAUUUAGCUUAGUGUGCACGUAGCACAGCAUUUGCAAGAAGUUCACUUGAGGAUAGGGUUUUGGUUUUGGGAGGAUGCCAACUUUUACGACUGCAUGCCUCUACCUCGUUCCCCUCUUCUCUACUCUGGUUGCAUUUGUCUGUAAUGAAUUAUAUUUAAAAAUGUAUUUAUAUAUGUAAUUAUAUAUGUAAUUGUUAUAUUUUAAGUUGUGUUUUAGAAUUAUAAAUUACUUUAACCAUGCUUUCUUUAAACACAUUUCAAAUAAUAAAUUAAGCCAUUUUAAGAUGGCACGUUUUAUUAUUUUUUUAACUUAGAUAUUUUUUAAGGAAUGCUUUCUUACACGGGUGUGUAUAAGAACUUUACAACAAUACCAUUGAAAAAACAUGUCCUAGUACUGCAGAAAAAAAGCUUAGAGGGAGGACAGGGAGGUAAAUGUAACUAUUCCUUCUUUAGUAUAUUUGAAGGGAUUUCUUAACCCUAUUGUUAAUAAUUACGAUAUGCUAUGGAAUGCUUUGUAUCUGAAUCAGCAUUAACUCUUAGAAUCUUUAGAUAAAAUCACAAGAUGAAAUGGUUAAUAAAAUUUAAAGUAAAUAUCCAACCUGUUAGUCAAAGCUAUGUUCCUGGUUUUGAAAUGCUACAAAUCCACAUAACUCACUACAGUGGAUGGUGAAGGAGAGAAUGAUCAGAGUCGGAAGUUAACUAACACGUCAGUAAAUGUGGCUUAGCUAUCGACACGUGAAUACCGAUUCAGUCAUUCAGUCCUAUUCGAGGAAAUGUUCAUUAAAAUGGCGGACGCUGCCAUGUCAUUUGCAGGCUUCAUUCGGAAUUGGAACGUAUUGUGAUACAUUCAAAACUUAACCUUGCUUAAUAAAAUGUAUUCCCGUACUACACAUUUUGUCAAAAGUGAACUACAAUGACUCCAGGAAAAAUCCUCACACAUUUAGUUUCUGUCUUUUAACCCUUAAAUUGACAAGAUGGUUAUACAUUUGUAAGGAAGUAUUUGGAAUAACAAACUUAUAAUUCAACAGAAAAAAUUAAGCACAAUCAAUAUGAAAAUUGCUAUGUGGUCUUAGAUAACUUAAAAUCUAUGACAAAACAACUAAAAUAGUAUCCAACAAUUUCAUAUGUAGUUGCUGUACAGAUUAAUAAAUACAUUCAAUGUUAACCACUAUGUAUAAUAUAUAUGGUAAAAACAGAUCAUGCAAAUAUAAUUUUCUCCAACUGGUCCAUCAGAAAAUUACAAGUUUUGUUAGUAUGCAUGUUGGAUCUUAUCAUGGUAAACAAAAAAUAUGUAAUACAUCAAAUGUUUAUUUUGGGAUAAUAAGAAUUCCUGAUCAUGCAAAAUGUAGGCUGUGGAUUCUCACUUCUUGCUUUUCUCAUGUGUUAUGAGUAAUGAACUAAAUAAAAGGGUCAGUCAAGGGAAGAUCAAACUAAAUGCAACAUAUUAUCUUUGCAAAAGAACGACAAGAUAGAUCUAUGUACAACACUACGUCUUUAUUUUCUGCACAGGGGGCAUAAUCAUGGCAUUCUCUGAUUUAUCUCAUUGAAAUGUCUUUUUUUUGCCUCACUUUAAAACGUUUUGUGCUCCAUCAUUUUUAGACAUAAUUUGGAAUCACAGAGUAACAGUCACAAGGUCUCUGUAUUUUCAAAGCUGUCAUACCUAACACUUGGUAUUCCAUGUAGGUCACAUAAGGAGAGUCGAGGACACAUGUUUAGGAGCCUGUUUGCUUGUCUUUAGUGUCUAGAAACACAGGAAACAGCCAGGAAAGGAAGGCUGAGGAAUAUGAAAUUGCAGUGGGCAGUAGCGCCGCAUAGGCAAACAUGAUCUACACUCCUUUACCCAUUAACCACCAACAGGAGUACAAGCCAGAUUUCUGACUGUGCAGGAUCAGAAACUGCAAUGCAUCAGGAUACCAGGCACAUACAGCUGACACAUCAGACAGAAACAAUUGAUAUUCUAUAGCAGGGUUCCAAAACAGGUGGCCUGCGGGCCAACUUCGGCCUUCGGGUGAUUUUAUUUUAUUUUUCUGAUCAAAAAUAAUAAAAAUAAUAAUACAAAAUAAAAAUUAUAUAAUUUAUAUAAUUUUCAUUGUUGGACAUAAAAGACUGUAAAAUCACCAGGACAUCAGCUUAAAGUGAUUUUAAUUGAGAAAAUCUGUUCCCAAGUAUUCCCACGCAUAAACAGAGGCAUACAGUAUGUGAUCGUAUCCCAAUGUUAUCAAGGUUUGAAAUGAUUCUGUUUUUGUCAAAUACUAUGUCUGUUUGGGAUUAUUGCGGUCAAUUUGCAGUCUACAAAUGAUUUGUAAACAUGUUCCCCCCACCUGACCAUCCACUCAAGGAAAAAUUGGCCUGUGACUGAAUGUAUUAGGGACCCUGUUUUAAAGGAAGCUAAUCAGGAGGAUAGCACCAACCCACAAGGCCGGAUGGCCCUACGUACACAGGGAUGAAAGACUUGGACUCCCUCUCUAGGAACAGGGGCCGAGUGAGUCUAUGAGGUGGUCUUGCUUCAACCCGGCACGUGUCUAAACAACUUCUCUAUUACACCUGACCUCUGAGGGCACUCCCCAUCGAGCAGGGAACAAAGGCCAUGACCCGGGGGUCAAAAGUGUUAUACGGGAGGCCCAAUGAGGAACCCAGUGCUGUUUGCUUUAAGAAGGUAAAGAUGACUAACACAUUAACUAAUGCUGAAUAGGGGAUUAUCCCCGAGGGACGUCACUCACAGGGUCUACACAUCACGUCUUAUUAACACCCCUGACCUCUGGCCCGUCACCUCAGGCAGCUGACUGCGACCGCCACUCUCCCUCUCUGUCUAUGUGUAAGAAUAACACAUGCACGCACGCACACACACACACACACACCACACACACACACACACACACACACACACACACACACACACAACAAGACGGUGGUAGGGAUGGGUGCAACGUUGCUUGAAAAAAGUUUUUACAAUCACUAUAAUGAAUUACUGAGUAUCAAUUCUGAAUUACAAACAGUAAUACUUAAUAGUAGUAUUGCCAUGAGAAACAAAAUAUAAGAAACCUUUGAACUUUAUACCGGGCAUUUUGUUUCAUUUCAAGUCUUUGUUUUAUGUAUGAUUAGCAAAUGUGUAUCUUUGACAUUUAAUUUCACAAUGAUCAUGAGCCAAGGAAUUUAUUUACACCAUACACAACAAUAGAUUCCCUCAAAUUGAUCCUCCGUGUUACUGAGCUGCAAGUGUUCCACGGCACUUCAUAAAAUGGGAGCAUUUAGAUAAAGUUCUGAUCACAAAAUGGUGGACAGAAGACAUGCGCAGUGUGGAUAUCAUGGAUAAUAUUACACGAUAUGAUAGAUAGACCCUUUCAACAGCACAUGCUUAUUCACACAUUUUCAAUUAUUACGUAUGUAUUGAGUGGGUGACGUAAAUUAAUUGUGUCAAUGUGAAAAAGUGGAAGCUGACUUAACCCUAUAUCUCCUGACUGAUUACACCUACAUAUUCAUUAUUGAAACUAAACAAGCAUGGUUUCAUUUCAUUGGGUGUACCUCAUAAUGUAAUGAUACCAUUUUCUUCUGAAAAACAAAUAUGAAAUGUGAUUAUUAUGUGUAUGAGAAAAUCAAUUUCUGAGAUGGUGAUGUUUAAGAAUUAAGAAUUGGCUUUUUUGUACACAUUUACACUUGAAUAUUGUACAAUCUUAAAGAAAAUUGUAUUUGUGAAAUAUGUUCUAUUCGUCACAUGUGUUUUCUUUUUAGAAAUGGGUUCACAGCUCAACUUAACAUUAUAAAAGUCAAGUAUUCAUUUGAAUUGAAAAUAGAAGAUAUAAUGUCUUUCUAAUGACAAUACCAUUUUCAAUAUAUGUAUAAUGAAGGGCCUUUGGAAAGAAUAUCAAUACAUAACAAAUAACUCUGUAGCUAUAGCAAUGAAUAAUACAAUGAAUUAGUUACUGUCACAAAAUAUGUUGCAUACAUACCUCAAUAGAAAAAGGUGGAACUUUUUACCACAAAGAGCUUACAUUUCAAAUCAAAUCAAAUUGUAUUUGUCACAUGCCCCGAAUACAACAGGUUUAGACCUUGCAGUGAAAUGCUGACUUACAAGCUCGUAACCAACCAUGCUUCAAGAAGUUUUAAUAAAAAUAAGUGUUGGGUAAAAAAUUUGAUAAGUAAAAAAUUGAAAAUAGAAGUAAACAAAAAAUGUAAUGGCAGCAGUAAAAUAACAAUAGUGAGGCUAUAUACAAGGGGGUACUAUAUGAUUAAUAUAGAAUGAAUACAUCAUUGGAAGUGCAUUGAUUAGAUAACAACUGAUAUUACAAAUCAAGAAUGAAUAUCAACCGGGUAAGAAGAAAUCACUUCAAACCUAAAUUGGGCUAUUCCAAAGAAUCUGUCGAAAUUUGUCAACCACAUGUCGAAUUAAAAUCAGGUGCAUCUGCGUGUAAUUGUAACAAAUGAUGCAAUAAUAAACUGCCAUAUAGCAAGUCCUUCAUCUACAAUCAAACAUUGUGAUUUACAUUUUUUUUAAGCUAAAAUAAGUAAUGUCUGCCAACAAGGUUAAGCAUUUUCCCAUGAUCAGAAUUUCAAAAAAGAUGGGAACAAAUUAUUUAUACGUAAAUUAUAUUGAAAGGAUUUUGAAAUAGCAUAUUUUUCCAAUAAAACAUGUAUUCAAAGGAAAUAAGCUCGCACACACCACUCUGGCAAAGUAUCAGUCAUUUACUUCCACGCCAACUUAUUUUCUUUGAAUAACUGUUUCACUCUUCCAAUGCACCUGUUAAGCAACAAGUAACACUCUCUUUAAUUUAAAUAAAACAUUAACACGUAGAAAAUAAUCAUUGAAUUUAUGAAAAUGAACUGCACAGUAUCAUUUGACACAGUAAGCAAGGCUGCAAAUGAUAUAUAUUGACUUCUAAUUGAAGAGGUAUGAACCUUUAUCAGUAACAUUUAACACUUUAACCUCUACAUCUGUAUAUCUGAAUGUAGUCAUCUGUGAAAUUCCAGCAAACCAAUAUGCUAUGGUCAUUAAACAAUGAGCAGUGA